GGUUGUAGCUCAGUGGCAGAGUGUUUGCCUAGCAUGUGUGAGGCACUGGGUUUGAUCCUCAGCACCA
RNAcentral lists this transfer RNA (67 nucleotides) under Marmota monax (woodchuck). RNAcentral describes it as "tRNA.Ala". The record is from RNAcentral. Lineage: Eukaryota; Metazoa; Chordata; Mammalia; Rodentia; Sciuridae.